GGGGAUGUAGCUCAGCUGGUAGAGCGCUUGCUUCGCAUGUAAGAGGUCAGGGGUUCGAGUCCCCUCAUCUCCA
This is a transfer RNA of 73 nucleotides. It matches the Rfam family "tRNA". Rfam says of the family: Transfer RNA (tRNA) molecules are approximately 80 nucleotides in length. Their secondary structure includes four short double-helical elements and three loops (D, anti-codon, and T loops). Further hydrogen bonds mediate the characteristic L-shaped molecular structure. tRNAs have two regions of fundamental functional importance: the anti-codon, which is responsible for specific mRNA codon recognition, and the 3' end, to which the tRNAs corresponding amino acid is attached (by aminoacyl-tRNA synthetases). tRNAs cope with the degeneracy of the genetic code in two manners: having more than one tRNA (with a specific anti-codon) for a particular amino acid; and 'wobble' base-pairing, i.e. permitting non-standard base-pairing at the 3rd anti-codon position.